UACAUGAAUUUUUUAUUUAUAAUGCGAUAUAAAAAUAUAAUGUUUAUCGCAUGCAAAUGAGGGAAAAUAUGGCUCCUAUUCGCAUUUCUAUUCGCAUGUUAAUAUACUCUUUGAUCAUCUUUGUUGGAAAUUCUUUUCUUAAAAGUGACAUUCCAUGCGAAUCAUACGCCGAUUGUCCAAAGGUGAUAUGGUAUUCUAAAAAGUGUUUUCACAAAUUUUGUCAUUAUCGGGAUCUUUAUUAGUCAUUUUUCUAAUUAAUUAAGUAUAAAAAUAAGUGUGCGCUAUUGCUUUUAUACAUCAUAAUGUUUUUAUUUUAAACAAUACAAAAUAACUGUUAUCUUUAAAUGUAUUAUUGCUUUUG
This is a long non-coding RNA of Vicia villosa (hairy vetch), 361 nucleotides long. RefSeq lists it as uncharacterized. The record is from RefSeq and is a predicted model, not a curated record. NCBI's taxonomy places the organism in Eukaryota, Viridiplantae, Streptophyta, Magnoliopsida, Fabales, Fabaceae. The transcript is spliced from 2 exons.